UACGAAGGGGGCUAGCGUUGCUCGGAAUUACUGGGCGUAAAGGGCGCGUAGGCGGAUAUCUAAGUCGGGGGUGAAAACCCGGGGCUCAACCUCGGAAUUGCCUUCGAUACUGGAUAUCUUGAGUUCGGGAGAGGUGAGUGGAAUGCCGAGUGUAGAGGUGAAAUCCGUAGAUAUUCGGCGGAACACCAGUGGCGCAGGCGACUCACUGGCCCGAUACUGACGCUGAGGCGCGAAAGCGUGGGGAGCAAACAGG
Molecule: ribosomal RNA, 253 nt
Filed under: uncultured bacterium
Lineage: Bacteria
Description: partial 16S ribosomal RNA
Rfam family: Bacterial small subunit ribosomal RNA
Source: RNAcentral